UGCUCCACCGAAAGAAAAAGAGUGGCGAACGGGUGAGUAACACGUGGGUAACCUGCCCAUCAGAAGGGGAUAACACUUGGAAACAGGUGCUAAUACCGUAUAACACUAUUUUCCGCAUGGAAGAAAGUUGAAAGGCGCUUUUGCGUCACUGAUGGAUGGACCCGCGGUGCAUUAGCUAGUUGGUGAGGUAACGGCUCACCAAGGCAACGAUGCAUAGCCGACCUGAGAGGGUGAUCGGCCACACUGGGACUGAGACACGGCCCAGACUCCUACGGGAGGCAGCAGUAGGGAAUCUUCGGCAAUGGACGAAAGUCUGACCGAGCAACGCCGCGUGAGUGAAGAAGGUUUUCGGAUCGUAAAACUCUGUUGUUAGAGAAGAACAAGGAUGAGAGUAAAAUGUUCAUCCCUUGACGGUAUCUAACCAGAAAGCCACGGCUAACUACGUGCCAGCAGCCGCGGUAAUACGUAGGUGGCAAGCGUUGUCCGGAUUUAUUGGGCGUAAAGCGAGCGCAGGCGGUUUCUUAAGUCUGAUGUGAAAGCCCCCGGCUCAACCGGGGAGGGUCAUUGGAAACUGGGAG
RNAcentral lists this ribosomal RNA (578 nucleotides) under Enterococcus casseliflavus. RNAcentral describes it as "bacterial SSU rRNA". It matches the Rfam family "Bacterial small subunit ribosomal RNA", at positions 74 to 639 of the family's 1533-position model. Lineage: Bacteria; Bacillati; Bacillota; Bacilli; Lactobacillales; Enterococcaceae. The record is from RNAcentral.